This 449-nucleotide ribosomal RNA is filed under the name uncultured bacterium. RNAcentral's name for it is "bacterial SSU rRNA". It matches the Rfam family "Bacterial small subunit ribosomal RNA", at positions 331 to 797 of the family's 1533-position model. The record is from RNAcentral.
CCAGACUCCUACGGGAGGCAGCAGUGGGGAAUAUUGCACAAUGGGGGAAACCCUGAUGCAGCAACGCCGCGUGAAGGAAGACGGUUUUCGGAUUGUAAACUUCUAUCAAUAGGGAAGAAAGAAAUGACGGUACCUAAAUAAGAAGCCCCGGCUAACUAUGUGCCAGCAGCCGCGGUAAUACGUAGGGGGCAAGCGUUAUCCGGAAUUACUGGGUGUAAAGGGAGAGUAGGCGGCAAGGUAAGCGAUAUGUGAAAGCCUUAGGCUUAACCUGAGGAUUGCAUAACGAACUAUCUAGCUAGAGUACAGGAGAGGAAAGCGGAAUUCCUAGUGUAGCGGUGAAAUGCGUAGAUAUCAGGAGGAACACCGGCGGCGAAGGCGGCCUGCUGGACCGCGACUGACGUUGAGGCUCGAAAGCGUGGGGAGCGAACAGGAUUAGAUACCCGAGUACA